This 301-nucleotide ribosomal RNA is filed under the name uncultured bacterium. RNAcentral's name for it is "partial 16S ribosomal RNA". It matches the Rfam family "Bacterial small subunit ribosomal RNA", at positions 509 to 808 of the family's 1533-position model. The record is from RNAcentral.
CAGCACCGCGGGAAUACGGAGGGUGCAAGCGUUAAUCGGAAUUACUGGGCGUAAAGCGCACGCAGGCGGUUUGUUAAGUCAGAUGUGAAAUCCCCGAGCUUAACUUGGGAACUGCAUUUGGAACUGGCAAGCUAGAGUCUUGUAGAGGGGGGUAGAAUUCCAGGUGUAGCGGUGAAAUGCGUAGAGAUCUGGAGGAAUACCGGUGGCGAAGGCGGCCCCCUGGACAAAGACUGACGCUCAGGUGCGAAAGCGUGGGGAGCAAACAGGAUUAGAUACCCCGGUAGUCCCUGUCUCUUAUACA